AAAACGACUCUCGGCAACGGAUAUCUCGGCUCUCGCAUCGAUGAAGAACGUAGCGAAAUGCGAUACUUGGUGUGAAUUGCAGAAUCCCGUGAACCAUCGAGUCUUUGAACGCAAGUUGCGCCCGAAGCCUUYUGGCCGAGGGCACGUCUGCCUGGGUGUCACGC
RNAcentral lists this ribosomal RNA (164 nucleotides) under Melicytus alpinus. RNAcentral describes it as "5.8S ribosomal RNA". It matches the Rfam family "5.8S ribosomal RNA". Rfam says of the family: 5.8S ribosomal RNA (5.8S rRNA) is a component of the large subunit of the eukaryotic ribosome. It is transcribed by RNA polymerase I as part of the 45S precursor that also contains 18S and 28S rRNA. The record is from RNAcentral. Lineage: Eukaryota; Viridiplantae; Streptophyta; Magnoliopsida; Malpighiales; Violaceae.